GGUUCCAUAGUAUAGCUGUUAGCACGUCUGCUUUACACGCAGAAGGUCUUGGGCUCGCACCCCAGUGGAGCCA
This is a non-coding RNA of Pteropus alecto (black flying fox), 73 nucleotides long. NCBI's taxonomy places the organism in Eukaryota, Metazoa, Chordata, Mammalia, Chiroptera, Pteropodidae. The record is from Rfam.